This 433-nucleotide ribosomal RNA is filed under the name uncultured bacterium. Its description in RNAcentral is "partial 16S ribosomal RNA". It matches the Rfam family "Bacterial small subunit ribosomal RNA", at positions 29 to 507 of the family's 1533-position model. The record is from RNAcentral.
AACGAACGCUGGCGGCAUGCCUAACACAUGCAAGUCGAACGAGACCUUCGGGUCUAGUGGCGCACGGGUGCGUAACGCGUGGGAACCUGCCCUUAGGUUCGGAAUAACUCCCCGACAGGGGUGCUAAUACCGGAUAAUGUCUUCGGACCAAAGAUUUAUCGCCUUUGGAUGUGCCCGCGUUGGAUUAGCUAGUUGGUAGGGUAAAAGCCUACCAAGGCGACGAUCCAUAGCUGGUCUGAGAGGAUGAUCAGCCACACUGGGACUGAGACACGGCCCAGAAUCCUACGGGAGGCAGCAGUGGGGAAUAGUGGACAAUGGGGGGAAGCAUGAUGCACCAAGGCCGCGUGAGCGAUGAAGGCAUGAGGGUUGUAAAGCUCUUUUAACCGGGAUGAUAAUGACAGUACCGGGAGAAUAAGCCCCGGCUAACUCCGUG